GGAUCCAGACUUUGAUCAUGGCUCAGGACGAACGCUGGCGGCGCGCCUAACACAUGCAAGUCGAACGGAGUUAUUUUCUUCACUCCGAGCUUUUUGCCAGUUAGUCGGAGCGGCAAUCGGUCUUGCCCAGCAUAAAAAGCAAAACCGAUUUAGGCUCAUAAAGUAAGACUAACACAGAGGGCAGAGAGUUGGGAGUGAAGAAAAUAACUUAGUGGCGAACGGGUGAGAACGCGUGAGUAACCUGCCCUGGAGUGGGGGACAACAGUUGGAAACGACUGCUAAUACCGCAUAAGCCCACGGCCCGGCAUCGGGCUGAGGGAAAAGGAUUUAUUCGCUUCAGGAUGGGCUCGCGUCCAAUUAGCUAGUUGGUGAGGUAACGGCCCACCAAGGCGACGAUUGGUAGCCGGACUGAGAGGUUGAACGGCCACAUUGGGACUGAGACACGGCCCAGACUCCUACGGGAGGCAGCAGUGGGGGAUAUUGCACAAUGGGGGAAACCCUGAUGCAGCGACGCCGCGUGGAGGAAGAAGGUUUUCGGAUUGUAAACUCCUGUCGUUAGGGACGAUAAUGACGGUACCUAACAAGAAAGCACCGGCUAACUACGUGCCAGCAGCCGCGGUAAAACGUAGGGUGCAAGCGUUGUCCGGAAUUACUGGGUGUAAAGGGAGCGCAGGCGGACCGGCAAGUUGGAAGUGAAAACUAUGGGCUCAACCCAUAAAUUGCUUUCAAAACUGCUGGCCUUGAGUAGUGCAGAGGUAGGUGGAAUUCCCGGUGUAGCGGUGGAAUGCGUAGAUAUCGGGAGGAACACCAGUGGCGAAGGCGACCUACUGGGCACCAACUGACGCUGAGGCUCGAAAGCAUGGGUAGCAAACAGGAUUAGAUACCCUGGUAGUCCAUGCCGUAAACGAUGAUUACUAGGUGUUGGAGGAUUGACCCCUUCAGUGCCGCAGUUAACACAAUAAGUAAUCCACCUGGGGAGUACGACCGCAAGGUUGCAACUCAAAGGAAUUGACGG
RNAcentral lists this ribosomal RNA (1015 nucleotides) under uncultured Bacillota bacterium. RNAcentral describes it as "bacterial SSU rRNA". It matches the Rfam family "Bacterial small subunit ribosomal RNA", at positions 1 to 916 of the family's 1533-position model. The record is from RNAcentral. Lineage: Bacteria; Bacillati; Bacillota.